UGGGGCGUCGUCUAAUGGCAGGACAACGGAUUCUGGUUCCGUAUGUGGGGGUUCGAAUCCUCCCGCCCCAGCCA
Molecule: transfer RNA, 74 nt
Filed under: Coriobacteriia bacterium
Lineage: Bacteria; Bacillati; Actinomycetota; Coriobacteriia
Description: tRNA-Gln
Rfam family: tRNA
About the family: Transfer RNA (tRNA) molecules are approximately 80 nucleotides in length.
Source: RNAcentral